GAAAGGUAUAUUCUAUCAUCAUCCUCCAGGCAAAUUACAAAUUCAGCCAUGCAGGAAGUUCCAUCCAAUCAAGAAGGUCCAGGCUUCUUCACUUGAAGGAGAACCCUAGCAGUACAAAAAUGUUCCUCCUGCUCCAGCAGUAAAGAUAAAACAAAGCAGGUAACAACUUACUUGGUCGGGAUCUCCAGAUACCUUUGAAAGUUGGAGUAGUUCCACAAGAAGGAAGGAUGAAGGUCAAAUUGUUUACUUUAUCCACACAAGAUGAACAGCUGAUUAUUCCCACAGUGUAGGCCCGAACAGGUAGCCAGGAUAAAAUGAACUUUACGCCCAUUCUAAUUAAUCUCCUUCCAGGCAUUAAACCAGCAAAAGUACCCCAGCACCCCCUUACAAAGACCAAAAGGUAUGGGCUAAAACCCAUAAUAACUGAACUGUGACAUGAUAAUAUACUAGAGCCAUGUACUUCCCCAUACAACAUCCCAUUCUUGCUAUUAAAAAGCCUGACAAUAGCUACAGGCUAGUUCAAGACCUACGUGAAGUAAAUAAAAGAGUGCAAGCUCUGUGCCUGUUAGUACAAAACCCUUACACCUUGUUAAGUUAUCACCUACGCACUCUUGGUUCUCAGUAACUGACCUGAAGGAUGCAUUUUGGUCAUGCCCUGUAGAUUCUCCUUCUAGACACCUGUUUGCCUUCACCUGGGAAGAUCCAGACACUGGAAGGAAACAGCAGCUCACCUGGACCUGGCGACCGCAAGGGUACAUGGAGUCUCCCACACUCUUCGGUCAGGCCUUGAAGAGCCUGUUCAUUUCCUUUUCUCCACCCUCAGGAAUACAAGUAACACAGAGAAACAACAUGAAUAGAACCAAGGCCAGUUCCAGGCAGGACUUUCCUGCAUUUAGGUCCCUUCCUGCAUCCAGGUACACUCCCAUGACAACCAAGGGGUUCGAACCCAGG
Molecule: long non-coding RNA, 951 nt
Organism: Passer domesticus (house sparrow)
Lineage: Eukaryota; Metazoa; Chordata; Aves; Passeriformes; Passeridae
Exons: 3
Source: RefSeq, a predicted model, not a curated record